GGCCAGACUCCUACGGGAGGCAGCAGUGGGGAAUAUUGGGCAAUGGGCGCAAGCCUGACCCAGCAAUGCCGCGUGAAGGAAGAAGGCCUUCGGGUUGUAAACUUCUUUUAUCAGGGACGAAGGAUGUGACGGUACCUGAUGAAUAAGCUCCGGCUAACUACGUGCCAGCAGCCGCGGUAAUACGUAGGUGGCAAGCGUUGUCCGGAAUUACUGGGUGUAAAGGGAGCGUAGGCGGGAAGCCAAGUCAGCUGUGAAAACUACGGGCUUAACCUGUGGCCUGCAUUUGAAACUGUACUUCUUGAGUACUGGAGAGGCAGACGGAAUUCCUAGUGUAGCGGUGAAAUGCGUAGAUAUUCGGAGGAACACCGGUGGCGAAGGCGGCCAACUGGGCUUUAACUGACGCUGAGGCUCGAAAGUGUGGGGAGCAAACAGGAUUAGAUACCCCAGUAUCG
RNAcentral lists this ribosomal RNA (452 nucleotides) under uncultured bacterium. Its description in RNAcentral is "bacterial SSU rRNA". It matches the Rfam family "Bacterial small subunit ribosomal RNA", at positions 329 to 793 of the family's 1533-position model. The record is from RNAcentral.